This 253-nucleotide ribosomal RNA is filed under the name uncultured bacterium. Its description in RNAcentral is "partial 16S ribosomal RNA". It matches the Rfam family "Bacterial small subunit ribosomal RNA", at positions 524 to 776 of the family's 1533-position model. The record is from RNAcentral.
UACAGAGGUCCCGAGCGUUGUUCGGAUUCACUGGGCGUAAAGGGUGCGUAGGUGGUGAGGUAAGUCGGAUGUGAAAUCUCCAGGCUCAACCUGGAAACUGCAUUGGAAACUACCUUGCUAGAGGGUUUGAGGGGGGACUGGAAUUCUCGGUGUAGCAGUGAAAUGCGUAGAUAUCGAGAGGAACACCAGUGGCGAAGGCGAGUCCCUGGAAAACACCUGACACUGAGGCACGAAAGCUAGGGGAGCAAACGGG